AGAGUUUGAUCCUGGCUCAGGACGAACGCUGGCGGCGUGCUUAACACAUGCAAGUCGAACGAAGAGCGAUGGAAGCUUGCUUCUAUCAAUCUUAGUGGCGAACGGGUGAGUAACGCGUAAUCAACCUGCCCUUCAGAGGGGGACAACAGUUGGAAACGACUGCUAAUACCGCAUACGAUCCAACCUCGGCAUCGAGGAUGGAUGAAAGGUGGCCUCUAUUUAUAAGCUAUCACUGAAGGAGGGGAUUGCGUCUGAUUAGCUAGUUGGAGGGGUAACGGCCCACCAAGGCAAUGAUCAGUAGCCGGUCUGAGAGGAUGAACGGCCACAUUGGGACUGAGACACGGCCCAGACUCCUACGGGAGGCAGCAGUGGGGAAUCUUCCGCAAUGGACGAAAGUCUGACGGAGCAACGCCGCGUGAGUGAUGACGGCCUUCGGGUUGUAAAGCUCUGUUAAUCGGGACGAAAGGUCCUCUUGCGAAUAGUUAGAGGAAUUGACGGUACCGGAAUAGAAAGCCACGGCUAACUACGUGCCAGCAGCCGCGGUAAUACGUAGGUGGCAAGCGUUGUCCGGAAUUAUUGGGCGUAAAGCGCGCGCAGGCGGAUCAGUCAGUCUGUCUUAAAAGUUCGGGGCUUAACCCCGUGAUGGGAUGGAAACUGCUGAUCUAGAGUAUCGGAGAGGAAAGUGGAAUUCCUAGUGUAGCGGUGAAAUGCGUAGAUAUUAGGAAGAACACCAGUGGCGAAGGCGACUUUCUGGACGAAAACUGACGCUGAGGCGCGAAAGCCAGGGGAGCGAACGGGAUUAGAUACCCCGGUAGUCCUGGCCGUAACCGAU
This 832-nucleotide ribosomal RNA is filed under the name uncultured bacterium. RNAcentral's name for it is "bacterial SSU rRNA". It matches the Rfam family "Bacterial small subunit ribosomal RNA", at positions 8 to 810 of the family's 1533-position model. The record is from RNAcentral.